Molecule: ribosomal RNA, 1949 nt
Organism: Actinomyces massiliensis F0489
Lineage: Bacteria; Bacillati; Actinomycetota; Actinomycetes; Actinomycetales; Actinomycetaceae
Rfam family: Bacterial large subunit ribosomal RNA
Source: Rfam
CCGAAGCCGCGGACCCCCAACAUCGAUCCUCCCCAAUCCGCCUUUGUGGUGGUUGGGCAGGGGUUGGGGGUGGUAGGGGAGCGUCCUGCACUGGGUGAAGCCUGGGGGUGACCCACGGGUGGACGGUGCGGGAGUGAGAAUGCAGGCAUGAGUAGCGAUGACUAGGGUGAGAAGCCCUAGCGCCGAGAGACCAAGGGUUCCAGGGCCAGGCUAGUCCGCCCUGGGUGAGUCGGGACCUAAGGCGAGGCCGACAGGCGUAGUCGAUGGAUGACGGGUUGAUAUUCCCGUACCGGCGAAGGACCGACCAUGCUGACGCGCGGGUGCUAACCCACGCUGCCGGCCCAUAAUUGUGGCCGCACCUGACCAUGUGUGGUGGGUGUGGCUGGUGUGGCUGGUGGUCUGGGGAUCCUCCGUGCUGGUAGGCAAGCGUGUUAACAGGGGUGACGCACAGUGGUAGCCCGGCGGGCCUAAUGGCUUGGCCUGUUCAAGCGCGCAGCCCGGUCCCUAGGUAAAUCCGGGGACCAGCCCUUCAAUAAGGGCGGGGGUGAGGCGUGAUGGUGACCGGUAGCCGUGUGCUGCUGGGAUAACAGGGUGAUCCUGGGGUGCCGAGAAAAGCCUCGACGCGAUGGUCUAAGCCGCCCGUACCCGAAACCGACACAGGUGGUCCGGCAGAGUAUGCCUAGGCGAACGAGUGAACCGUGGUGAAGGAACUCGGCAAAAUGCCCCCGUAACUUCGGGAGAAGGGGGGCCCGGACCCUGAAGCAGCCAGCCUGCUAGGGGUGAGGGCCGCAGAGACCAGGGGGGAGCGACUGUUUACUAAAAACACAGGUCCGUGCGAAGCCGUAAGGCGAGGUAUACGGACUGACGCCUGCCCGGUGCUGGAAGGUUAAGAGGAUCCCUCAACCCCACCCGUGGGGUGAAGGGGUGAGUUCAAGCCCCAGUAAACGGCGGUGGUAACUAUAACCAUCCUAAGGUAGCGAAAUUCCUUGUCGGGUAAGUUCCGACCUGCACGAAUGGCGUAACGACUUCCCCACUGUCUCCACCACGGGCUCGGCGAAAUUGCAUUACGAGUAAAGAUGCUCGUUACGCGCAGAAGGACGGAAAGACCCCGGGACCUUUACUAUAGCUUGGUAUUGGCGUCCGCCAUGGUUUGUGCAGGAUAGGUGGGAGACUGUGAGACCGCCACGCUAGUGGUGGUGGAGUCAUUGUUGAGAUACCACUCUGGCUGUGGCGUGCGCCUGAACCUCGGCCCGUGAUCCGGGUCAGGGACAGUGCCUGGUGGGUAGUUUAACUGGGGCGGUUGCCUCCUAAAAAGUAACGGAGGCGCUCAAAGGUUCCCUCAGCCUGGUCGGUAACCAGGUGGCGAGUGCAAGUGCACAAGGGAGCUUGACUGCGAGACCGACACGUCAAGCAGGUACGAAAGUAGGAACUAGUGAUCCGGCGAUCCCGUGUGGAUGGGUCGUCGCUCAACGGAUAAAAGGUACCCCGGGGAUAACAGGCUGAUCCUGCCCAAGAGUCCAUAUCGACGGCAUGGUUUGGCACCUCGAUGUCGGCUCGUCGCAUCCUGGGGCUGGAGCAGGUCCCAAGGGUUGGGCUGUUCGCCCAUUAAAGCGGUACGCGAGCUGGGUUUAGAACGUCGUGAGACAGUUCGGUCCCUAUCCUCUGCGCGCGCAGGAGACUUGAGAAGGCCUGUCCCUAGUACGAGAGGACCGGGACGGACGAACCUCUAGUGCGCCAGUUGUCCCGCCCGGGGCACCGCUGGUUAGCCACGUUCGGACACGGAUAACCGCUGAAAGCAUCUAAGCGGGAAACCAUCUUCAAGACCAGGUCUCCACACACCACCAUGGUGUGGAAGGCCCCCAGCAGACCACUGGGUAGAUAGGCCAGACGUGCACGAUCGGUAACGAUCGAAGCUGACUGGUACUAACCGGCCGACACAACACACACCA